GGGUUGUGAGGUUAAGCGACUAAGCGUACACGGUGGAUGCCCUGGCAGUCAGAGGCGAUGAAGGGCGUGCUAAUCUGCGAUAAGCGCCGGUAAGGUGAUAUGAACCGUUAUAACCGGCGAUACCCGAAUGGGGAAACCCAGUGUGAUUCGUCACACUAUCAUUAACUGAAUCCAUAGGUUAAUGAGGCGAACCGGGGGAACUGAAACAUCUAAGUACCCCGAGGAAAAGAAAUCAACCGAGAUUCCCCCAGUAGCGGCGAGCGAACGGGGAGGAGCCCAGAGCCUGAAUCAGCAUGUGUGUUAGUGGAAGCGUCUGGAAAGGUGCGCGAUACAGGGUGACAGCCCCGUACACAAAAGCGCAUGUGCUGUGAGCUCGAUGAGUAGGGCGGGACACGUGGUAUCCUGUCUGAAUUAAGUUGCAGGGUAUAGACCCGAAACCCGGUGAUCUAGCCAUGGGCAGGUUGAAGGUUGGGUAACACUAACUGGAGGACCGAACCGACUAAUGUUGAAAAAUUAGCGGAUGACCUGUGGCUGGGGGUGAAAGGCCAAUCAAACCGGGAGAUAGCUGGUUCUCCCCGAAAGCUAUUUAGGUAGCGCCUCGUGAAUUCAUCUCCGGGGGUAGAGCACUGUUUCGGCUAGGGGGCCAUCCCGGCUUACCAACCCGAUGCAAACUGCGAAUACCGGAGAAUGUUAUCACGGGAGACACACGGCGGGUGCUAACGUCCGUCGUGAAGAGGGAAACAACCCAGACCGCCAGCUAAGGUCCCAAAGUCAUGGUUAAGUGGGAAACGAUGUGGGAAGGCCCAGACAGCCAGGAUGUUGGCUUAGAAGCAGCCAUCAUUUAAAGAAAGCGUAAUAGCUCACUGGUCGAGUCGGCCUGCGCGGAAGAUGUAACGGGGCUAAACCAUGCACCGAAGCUGCGGCAGCGAACGUAUCACCCAAGACAACUUUACGGAGUUGACGAUUGACGGAGCGAAGCGACGUCAAAGCGUUCAUUAAAGUCGAGUUGGCUUAGGGAUACGUUCGUUGGGUAGGGGAGCGUUCUGUAAGCCUGUGAAGGUGUGUCGUGAGGCAUGCUGGAGGUAUCAGAAGUGCGAAUGCUGACAUAAGUAACGAUAAAGCGGGUGAAAAGCCCGCUCGCCGGAAGACCAAGGGUUCCUGUCCAACGUUAAUCGGGGCAGGGUGAGUCGACCCCUAAGGCGAG
RNAcentral lists this ribosomal RNA (1204 nucleotides) under Salmonella enterica subsp. enterica serovar Typhimurium. RNAcentral's name for it is "bacterial LSU rRNA". It matches the Rfam family "Bacterial large subunit ribosomal RNA", at positions 1 to 1400 of the family's 2925-position model. Lineage: Bacteria; Pseudomonadati; Pseudomonadota; Gammaproteobacteria; Enterobacterales; Enterobacteriaceae. The record is from RNAcentral.